UAAUACAAUAAUCGAUUUUAGUGACCUUCGCUGCCGGUUCGUGGUCUAUGGUUGGUGUUGACAAUAGUCAAAAGUACAGAUGUCAGAGAAAAUUAUCUGCAGUGCUUAUAUAUAAAAAAAACAAGCAAUACUAUCUUAUAUAAUAUUUUGUACAGUUAAGUGAUAAAUUUGUCAAUCGGCGCUUUCCUAGGUACCUUGGUUUUCGCUUACAGAAUGAGAAAUUUACUUAAGGUCUAGCCACGACAGCAGGGUAGCUGGGUAAAUUAUUUUACUUAUUCUGGAAACUAGCCACAAGCAUAGGGUAGUGCCUCAGAGCGAUCAUGCGUUAAUGCUAUAAUGCUAUUACCUAAACUAAAACAUUGGUAGUAAGCCAUGCAGUGAAACUAGCUAUGAGGGCAGUGCACGGCAACAAGACUACAGCAAAGCAAUGGGGAAUAAUACUAUAUCUAAAUUGCCUGUAUAGUUACUCGGACAAGUAACUAUGUGUGAUGUGCCCACGAUGUAACAACUGAACUGCCUGGUGGAUGUCUGGACCUGUCUGGUAGGUACGACUGCCGGGGUACUGGAUAGCUAGGGCUGGAAGGGUACUUCGUAACCAUAUACUAAGGCACCACCUGCGGGGAGGCCACUGGUUGGCCAGCAACAAGGAAAACAUAUGUGAACAAAACCAACAAAACUACACUAAUCCAAUCAUUUGCAACCUACUAUCUACUCUCCCCUCUUGGGAAUGACCUUAAAGAUGAUAAGUUAGGCGCAAUAAAAUAAACCUGUAACAAGCUGAUUCGGGAAGAAUUGCUAUUUUUGAAUAUGCUAGAAAUAUAUUACAACAUAGAACAUAUGUUAGAAAACAUAUUAUAAUCAUUUAACAUUUAUAACCGCACUUUAAAAAAAGCUCCAUUUGUUUUACCUAACGCAGGUUGAGCAUACUGAGCGAACUCUUAAUUAAUCAUUCUAGAGUACUCGAACGGCAACUAGUUAACUCUUUAGACUUUAUAUAGGCGAACGACAACUAAACCUUUGGGCAAAAAAGAGUGCACGGAACAGUGAAGCCGAACGCUACAUACGUACGUGAACAGUGUUAGAUUUGGUGAUUAUUCAAUAAAAAUUAAGU
Anoplophora glabripennis (Asian longhorned beetle) is the source of this 1111-nucleotide long non-coding RNA. RefSeq lists it as uncharacterized. The transcript is spliced from 3 exons. The record is from RefSeq and is a predicted model, not a curated record. Lineage: Eukaryota; Metazoa; Arthropoda; Insecta; Coleoptera; Cerambycidae.